RNAcentral lists this ribosomal RNA (497 nucleotides) under uncultured bacterium. RNAcentral's name for it is "partial 16S ribosomal RNA". It matches the Rfam family "Bacterial small subunit ribosomal RNA", at positions 28 to 507 of the family's 1533-position model. The record is from RNAcentral.
GAUGAACGCUGGCGGCGUGCCUAAUACAUGCAAGUCGAGCGAACGGACGAGAAGCUUGCUUCUCUGAUGUUAGCGGCGGACGGGUGAGUAACACGUGUAUAACCUACCUAUAAGACUGGGAUAACUUCGGGAAACCGGAUCUAAUACCGGAUAAUAUUUUGAACCGCAUGGUUCAAAAGUGAAAGACGGUCUUGCUGUCACUUAUAGAUGGAUCCGCGCUGCAUUAGCUAGUUGGUAAGGUAACGGCUUACCAAGGCAACGAUGCAUAGCCGACCUGAGAGGGUGAUAGCCCACAUUGGAGGUGAGACAGGGACCAGACUACUGCGGGAGGCCGCAGUAGGGAAUCUUACGCAAUGGGCGAAAGCCUGGCGGAGCAACGCCGCGUGAGUGAUGAAAAUCUUCGGAUCGUAAAGCUCUGUUAUUAGGGAAGAACAUAUGUGUAAGUAACUGUGCCGAGAGUGACGGUACCUAAUCAGAAAGCAACGGCUAACUACGUG